RNAcentral lists this transfer RNA (73 nucleotides) under Felis catus (domestic cat). It matches the Rfam family "tRNA". From Rfam's summary of the family: Transfer RNA (tRNA) molecules are approximately 80 nucleotides in length. Their secondary structure includes four short double-helical elements and three loops (D, anti-codon, and T loops). Lineage: Eukaryota; Metazoa; Chordata; Mammalia; Carnivora; Felidae. The record is from Rfam by way of RNAcentral.
ACCUGACUGGCUCAGUUGGUGGAGCAUGUGGCUCUUGAUCGCAGGAUUGUGAGCUCAAACCUCACAUUGGGUC